GACGAACCGUGCGAACGUUGUUCGGAAUCACUGGGCUUAAAGGGCGCGUAGGCGGGCUGGCAAGUCAGGGGUGAAAGCCCACGGCUCAACCGUGGAAGUGCCUCUGAUACUGCCGGCCUGGAGGGAGGUAGGGGCGUGCGGAACUUCCGGUGGAGCGGUGAAAUGCGUAGAUAUCGGAAGGAACACCGGUGGCGAAAGCGGCGCGCUGGACCUCUUCUGACGCUGAGGCGCGAAAGCCAGGGGAGCAAACGGG
Molecule: ribosomal RNA, 253 nt
Filed under: uncultured bacterium
Lineage: Bacteria
Description: partial 16S ribosomal RNA
Rfam family: Bacterial small subunit ribosomal RNA
Source: RNAcentral